AUUACAUUUCUAGUGGCGGACGGGUGAGUAACACGUUGGAACCUGCCCCAAAGUGAGGAAUAAGCCACCGAAAGGUGGUCUAAUACUUCAUAAUAUCCAUCUCGUAUGGAUUAAAGCUUUAUGCGCUUUGGGAGGGGCCUGCGUAACAUUAGCUUGUUGGUGAGGGUAAAAAGCUCACCAAGGCUUCGAUGUUUAACUGGUUUGAGAGGAUGACCAGUCACACUGGGACUGAGAUACGGCCCAGACUCCUACGGGAGGCAGCAGUAAGGAAUCUUCCACAAUGGGGCAACCCUGAUGGAGCAAUACCGCGUGCAGGAUGAAGCGUUUCGGCGUGUAAACUGCUUUUAUCACCGAAGAUUAUGACUGUAGGUGAAGAAUAAGGACCGGCUAACUACGUG
This 398-nucleotide ribosomal RNA is filed under the name uncultured bacterium. RNAcentral's name for it is "bacterial SSU rRNA". It matches the Rfam family "Bacterial small subunit ribosomal RNA", at positions 83 to 507 of the family's 1533-position model. The record is from RNAcentral.